Molecule: ribosomal RNA, 468 nt
Filed under: uncultured bacterium
Lineage: Bacteria
Description: partial 16S ribosomal RNA
Rfam family: Bacterial small subunit ribosomal RNA
Source: RNAcentral
GACGAACGCUGGCGGCGUGCUUAACACAUGCAAGUCGAACGGAAAGGCCCUGCUUUUGUGGGGUGCUCGAGUGGCGAACGGGUGAGUAACACGUGAGUAACCUGCCCUUGACUUUGGGAUAACUUCAGGAAACUGGGGCUAAUACCGGAUAGGAGCUCCUGCUGCAUGGUGGGGGUUGGAAAGUUUCGGCGGUUGGGGAUGGACUCGCGGCUUAUCAGCUUGUUGGUGGGGUAGUGGCUUACCAAGGCUUUGACGGGUAGCCGGCCUGAGAGGGUGACCGGCCACAUUGGGACUGAGAUACGGCCCAGACUCCUACGGGAGGCAGCAGUGGGGAAUAUUGCACAAUGGGCGGAAGCCUGAGGCAGCAACUCCGCGUGCGGGAUGACGGCCUUCGGGUUGUAAACCGCUUUCGCCUGUGACGAAGCGUGAGUGACGGUAAUGGGUAAAGAAGCACCGGCUAACUACGUG